AUGGCUCAGGAUGAACGCUGGCGGCGUGCCUAACACAUGCAAGUCGAACGGACUUACACAGAAGCAGGAGAUGCUUGCAUUGACUAACGGAAGUGUAAGUUAGUGGCGGACGGGUGAGUAACGCGUGGGCAGCCUGCCCCAUACCGGGGGAUAACACCUGGAAACAGGUGCUAAAACCGCAUAAGCGCACAGCUUCGCAUGAAGGUGUGUGAAAAACUCCGGUGGUAUGGGAUGGGCCCGCGUCUGAUUAGCUGGUUGGCGGGGUAACGGCCCACCAAGGCGACGAUCAGUAGCCGGCCUGAGAGGGUGGACGGCCACAUUGGGACUGAGACACGGCCCAAACUCCUACGGGAGGCAGCAGUGGGGAAUAUUGGACAAUGGGGGAAACCCUGAUCCAGCGACGCCGCGUGAGUGAAGAAGUAUUUCGGUACGUAAAGCUCUAUCAGCAGGAAAGAAAAUGACGGUACCUGACUAAGAAGCCCCGGCUAACUACGUGCCAGCAGCCGCGGUAAUACGUAGGGGGCAAGCGUUAUCCGGAUUUACUGGGUGUAAAGGGAGCGUAGACGGCAGCGCAAGUCUGGAGUGAAAUGCCGGGGCCCAACCCCGGAACUGCUCUGGAAACUGUGAAGCUGGAGUGCAGGAGAGGUAAGCGGAAUUCCUGGUGUAGCGGUGAAAUGCGUAGAUAUCAGGAGGAACACCGGCGGCGAAGGCGGCUUACUGGACUGUAACUGACGUUGAGGCUCGAAGGCGUGGGGAGCAAACAGGAUUAGAUACCCUGGUAGUCCACGCGGUAAACGAUGAUUACCAGGUGUCGGGGGCAAUGUGCCCCCGGUGCCGGCGCAAACGCAAUAAGUAAUCCACCUGGGGAGUACGUUCGCAAGAAUGAAACUCAAAGGAAUUGACGGGGACCCGCACAAGCGGUGGAGCAUGUGGUUUAAUUCGACGCAACGCGAAGAACCUUACCCAGGCUUGACAUCCCAAUGAAUGCCCGGCAAUGCGGGCAGGCCCUUCGGGGACAUUGGAGACAGGUGGUGCAUGGUUGUCGUCAGCUCGUGUCGUGAGAUGUUGGGUUAAGUCCCGCAACGAGCGCAACCCUUACCCCCAGUAGCCAGCAGUAAGAUGGGAACUCUGGGGGGACUGCCGGGGACAACCCGGAGGAAGGUGGGGAUGACGUCAAAUCAUCAUGCCCCUUAUGCCUGGGGCGACACACGUGCUACAAUGGCGUAAACAGAGGGAAGCGAACCCGCGAGGGGGAGCAAAUCCGGGAAAUAACGCCCCAGUUCGGAUUGCAGGCUGCAACCCGCCUGCAUGAAGCCGGAAUCGCUAGUAAUCGCGGAUCAGAAUGCCGCGGUGAAUACGUUCCCGGGUCUUGUACACACCGCCCGUCACACCAUGGGAGCCGGGAAUGCCCGAAGCCGGCGGCCUAACCGAAAGGGGGGAGCCGUCGAAGGCAGGCCCGGUGACUGGGGUGAAGUCGUAACAAGGUA
RNAcentral lists this ribosomal RNA (1487 nucleotides) under uncultured bacterium. RNAcentral describes it as "bacterial SSU rRNA". It matches the Rfam family "Bacterial small subunit ribosomal RNA". The record is from RNAcentral.